GACUCUGUAGCUCAGUUGGUUAGAGCGCUGCACUGGGAAUCACAGGGUUCGACUCCUGCUCGACUCCUGUCAGAGAGUCUAUAGUUGUGGUUGGAGCUUGACGUAGGUUCAAUUCCUACCAGAGGAC
Paramuricea clavata is the source of this 127-nucleotide non-coding RNA. The record is from the annotation of a GenBank genome assembly. Lineage: Eukaryota; Metazoa; Cnidaria; Anthozoa; Malacalcyonacea; Plexauridae.